This 441-nucleotide ribosomal RNA is filed under the name Brevundimonas diminuta. Its description in RNAcentral is "bacterial SSU rRNA". It matches the Rfam family "Bacterial small subunit ribosomal RNA", at positions 39 to 526 of the family's 1533-position model. The record is from RNAcentral. Lineage: Bacteria; Pseudomonadati; Pseudomonadota; Alphaproteobacteria; Caulobacterales; Caulobacteraceae.
CCAAGCGCAGGCCUACCAUGCAGUCGACGAACUCUUCGGAGUUAGUGGCGGACGGGUGAGUAACACGUGGGAACGUGCCUUUUGGUUCGGAAUAACUCAGGGAAACUUGUGCUAAUACCGAAUGUGCCCUUCGGGGGAAAGAUUUAUCGCCAUUAGAGCGGCCCGCGUCUGAUUAGCUAGUUGGUGAGGUAACGGCUCACCAAGGCGACGAUCAGUAGCUGGUCUGAGAGGAUGAUCAGCCACACUGGGACUGAGACACGGCCCAGACUCCUACGGGAGGCAGCAGUGGGGAAUCUUGCGCAAUGGGCGAAAGCCUGACGCAGCCAUGCCGCGUGAAUGAUGAAGGUCUUAGGAUUGUAAAAUUCUUUCACCGGGGACGAUAAUGACGGUACCCGGAGAAGAAGCCCCGGCUAACUUCGUGCCAGCACCGUCCGGUAAUAA